This 429-nucleotide ribosomal RNA is filed under the name uncultured bacterium. RNAcentral's name for it is "bacterial SSU rRNA". It matches the Rfam family "Bacterial small subunit ribosomal RNA", at positions 355 to 776 of the family's 1533-position model. The record is from RNAcentral.
UAGGGAAUCUUCCACAAUGGACGAAAGUCUGAUGGAGCAACGCCGCGUGAGCGAAGAAGGUUUUCGGAUCGUAAAGCUCUGUUGCGAGGGAAGAACAAGUACGAGAGUAACUGCUCGUACCUUGACGGUACCUCGUUAGAAAGCCACGGCUAACUACGUGCCAGCAGCCGCGGUAAUACGUAGGUGGCAAGCGUUGUCCGGAAUUAUUGGGCGUAAAGCGCGCGCAGGCGGUCCUUUAAGUCUGAUGUGAAAGCCCACGGCUCAACCGUGGAGGGUCAUUGGAAACUGGAGGACUUGAGUACAGAAGAGGAAAGCGGAAUUCCACGUGUAGCGGUGAAAUGCGUAGAGAUGUGGAGGAACACCAGUGGCGAAGGCGGCUUUCUGGUCUGUAACUGACGCUGAGGCGCGAAAGCGUGGGGAGCAAACAGG